This 282-nucleotide unclassified non-coding RNA is filed under the name uncultured fungus. RNAcentral describes it as "partial contains small subunit ribosomal RNA, internal transcribed spacer 1, and 5.8S ribosomal RNA". The stretch from base 1 to 73 matches the Rfam family "Eukaryotic small subunit ribosomal RNA", at positions 1759 to 1831 of the family's 1831-position model. Lineage: Eukaryota; Fungi. The record is from RNAcentral.
ACAAACUUGGUCAUUUAGAGGAAGUAAAAGUCGUAACAAGGUCUCCGUAGGUGAACCUGCGGAGGGAUCAUUACGAAAAACGAGUUGCGAGACUCGGAAACCAUCGCGAACAUUACCUCGUCGUUGCCUCGGCGGGCGAGCCUUCCCCCAGGGGGGGGGCCACCCCGCCGGAGGUACGCCCGAACUCUUUAUUUCUCAGCGCUUCUCAGUGGAUACAGCGAAAAUUAAGUCAAAACUUUCAACAACGGAUCUCUUGGUUCUGGCAUCGAUGAAGAACGCAGC